UUAAAUCAUUAAAUUAAAAAGAUUUGGCGGUAUUUUAGAAAGUUAGAGGAACCUGUAUAGUAAUUGAUAAUCCACAAUAAGAUAUACUUAAAAGUUUAUGUAUUGCUGUUUAAAGAUUAUUAAUAAAUAAGUUUUUAAAUUUUUAUUAUAAAUAAAUUCAAGUCAAAAUAUAAUUUAGUUAAGAUAUGGGUUACAAUUUUAUUUUAAAAAUGGAUUUAAUAGUAA
RNAcentral lists this ribosomal RNA (225 nucleotides) under Synoeca septentrionalis. RNAcentral's name for it is "partial small subunit ribosomal RNA". Lineage: Eukaryota; Metazoa; Arthropoda; Insecta; Hymenoptera; Vespidae. The record is from RNAcentral.